CUCCCCGUUGCUGACCCCAGGUUCGAUAGCGCCAAUUAGGCGCCACCUCGCCAAGAACCAGCUUCGGUGAAGCGACGGGCGGUGUGUGCAAGGA
RNAcentral lists this ribosomal RNA (94 nucleotides) under uncultured archaeon. RNAcentral's name for it is "partial 16S ribosomal RNA". The record is from RNAcentral.